GAUGAACGCUGGCGGCGUGCCUAAUACAUGCAAGUCGAGCGAACGGACGAGAAGCUUGCUUCUCUGAUGUUAGCGGCGGACGGGUGAGUAACACGUGGAUAACCUACCUAUAAGACUGGGAUAACUUCGGGAAACCGGAGCUAAUACCGGAUAAUAUUUUGAACCGCAUGGUUCAAAAGUGAAAGACGGUCUUGCUGUCACUUAUAGAUGGAUCCGCGCUGCAUUAGCUAGUUGGUAAGGUAACGGCUUACCAAGGCAACGAUGCAUAGCCGACCUGAGAGGGUGAUCGGCCACACUGGAACUGAGACACGGUCCAGACACCUACGGGAGGAAGCAGUAGGGAAUAUUCCGCAAUGGGCGAAAGCCUGACGGAGCAACGCAGCGGGAGUGAUGAAGGUCUUCGGAUCGUAAAACUCUGUUAUUAGGGAAGAACAUAUGUGUAAGUAACUGUGCACAUCUUGACGGUAACUAAUCAGAAAGCAACGGCUAACUACGUG
RNAcentral lists this ribosomal RNA (497 nucleotides) under uncultured bacterium. RNAcentral describes it as "partial 16S ribosomal RNA". It matches the Rfam family "Bacterial small subunit ribosomal RNA", at positions 28 to 507 of the family's 1533-position model. The record is from RNAcentral.